GAUGAACGCUGGCGGCGUGCCUAAUACAUGCAAGUCGAGCGAACAGACGAGGAGCUUGCUCCUCUGACGUUAGCGGCGGACGGGUGAGUAACACGUGGAUAACCUACCUAUAAGACUGGGAUAACUUCGGGAAACCGGAGCUAAUACCGGAUAAUAUAUUGAACCGCAUGGUUCAAUAGUGAAAGACGGUUUUGCUGUCACUUAUAGAUGGAUCCGCGCCGCAUUAGCUAGUUGGUAAGGUAACGGCUUACCAAGGCAACGAUGCGUAGCCGACCUGAGAGGGUGGUCGGCCACACUGGAACGGAGACACGGUCCAGACUCCUACGGGAGGCAGCAGUAGGGAAUCUGCCGCAAUGGGCGAAAGCCUGACGGAGCAACGCCGCGUGAGUGAUGAAGGUCUUCGGAUCGUAAAACUCUGUUAUUAGGGAAGAACAAAUGUGUAAGUAACUAUGCACGUCUUGACGGUACCUAAUCAGAAAGCCACGGCUAACUACGUG
Molecule: ribosomal RNA, 497 nt
Filed under: uncultured bacterium
Lineage: Bacteria
Description: partial 16S ribosomal RNA
Rfam family: Bacterial small subunit ribosomal RNA
Source: RNAcentral